Molecule: long non-coding RNA, 501 nt
Organism: Rhodamnia argentea
Lineage: Eukaryota; Viridiplantae; Streptophyta; Magnoliopsida; Myrtales; Myrtaceae
Exons: 2
Source: RefSeq, a predicted model, not a curated record
GAUUUUUGGAUCCUAGUUUGAGGCAUAAUGCUCUAAGUUUGGUUAACUUGAGGUUGAUCAGCCAUAUAAUGUGGUUGGAGACAAGGAUGUUCAUUGAGCUGCAGAAGUUGGAGAACUCGUCUGGUCAUGAUAGUAACGUAAUGAUUGGUUGUGGGAUACUGUUCUAUGUUUGGUACUUCUGUGGAACGCAAGGACCAGUGCGAGAUCUUGGCCAAAUUGGUCUCUUCAUGAGGACAUCAGAGUUGAAUGUAACUUUAAAAACAGAACUUGCUUAAUGUAGCGUCUAUAGACUUUUCUGAGCUACAAUAGCCUAAUCAAUUCUCUCAUCAGUUUCAUGUUCAAGGAAGGAGCUAGUCUGUAAAAACCAUUUCUUACUAUUAUUUUUGGUCUGUGUUGUAUCCGUUCACCGAAGAUCUCCUCUGUCAUGUAUAUUUUAAGUUUCAUGUACUUAGAUAGAUGAACAUUAUUUCUGAAGAAUGAUAUGGAGGACCUUUUCAAUUA